UACGUAGGUGGCAAGCGUUAUCCGGAUUUAUUGGGUUUAAAGGGUGCGCAGGCGGGGGAUUAAGUCAGCGGUGAAAUUUUGCAGCUUAACUGUAAAAGUGCCUCCGAAACUGGUUUCCUUGAGUGUAGAUGAAGUAGGCGGAAUUUGUGGUGUAGCGGUGAAAUGCAUAGAUAUCACGAGGAACUCCGAUUGCGCAGGCAGCUUACUAAACUACUACUGACGCUCAAGCACGAAGGCGUGGGGAUCAAACAGGAUUAGAUACCCCCGUAGUCCCUGA
This 277-nucleotide ribosomal RNA is filed under the name uncultured prokaryote. RNAcentral's name for it is "partial 16S ribosomal RNA". It matches the Rfam family "Bacterial small subunit ribosomal RNA", at positions 524 to 800 of the family's 1533-position model. The record is from RNAcentral.